Molecule: ribosomal RNA, 464 nt
Filed under: uncultured bacterium
Lineage: Bacteria
Description: partial 16S ribosomal RNA
Rfam family: Bacterial small subunit ribosomal RNA
Source: RNAcentral
GAUGAACGCUGGCGGCGUGCUUAACACAUGCAAGUCGAACGGAAAGGCUCCUGCUUGCAGGGGUACUCGAGUGGCGAACGGGUGAGUAACACGUGGGUGAUCUGCCCUGCACUUCGGGAUAAGCCUGGGAAACUGGGUCUAAUACCGGAUAGGGCCACAUUUUGGAUGGUGUGGUGGAAAGUUUUUCGGUGUGGGAUGAGCUCGCGGCCUAUCAGCUUGUUGGUGGGGUAAUGGCCUACCAAGGCGUCGACGGGUAGCCGGCCUGAGAGGGUGUACGGCCACAUUGGGACUGAGAUACGGCCCAGACUCCUACGGGAGGCAGCAGUGGGGAAUAUUGCACAAUGGGCGCAAGCCUGAUGCAGCGACGCCGCGUGGGGGAUGACGGCCUUCGGGUUGUAAACUCCUUUCGCUAGGGACGAAGCGCAAGGGACGGUACCUGGAGAAGAAGCACCGGCUAACUACGU